UUUGACAGUAAAAUAUAGAGUGUCGUUUAGCAACUUUUUUUAUCAUCACAACAAAAUAAUUUAUAAGUAAAUGAAGACUUUGGUAAACAAAUUUUUUGUAUUCUAAUAGAAAAAUUACAAUAAGAUACCAUGUAUAGGCCUUGAACCCAAUUUGGCACAUGUUUUUGAUAAUACAUAAUCUAGCUCAAAAUUCCAAAAAAAAAAAAACUCUCUCAAACUUCGUUUAAUGACGUGGAUGUACAUGUGGCAAUAAAUAGUUGAUGUGGCAUUUAAAAAUUAUAUAAACAUAAAUAAAAAUAAAAAAAUUACAAAAAUCCCUUAUUCCGCUCCGAUUUUGAGGCCUCCUCGACGUAGAUCUUCGCCUCCACCAACUCUCUGUAACGUACUGGAUUUUACGUAACAUGAUGCGGUUUCGGUGGUGUGGUAUUUUAAAUACUGAACUCUCUUUAACGUUGGGCUUUCAAUUGGGUUAAUUAUUAGUGUGGUGUGGUAUUUAAACUAAGUUCAAUUGGAAUUUGAAGGCAGAUUUGAAGCAUAAACCAAAUCCUCUCAAAACUCUUCCUCUUCUGCUCUCUACUUCCUCUACUUCACCUUCUUACUGUUACUCUUCUUCUUCUUCUUCUUCUUCUUCUUCUUUCUAAUUCUUCAACUUCCUUCCCACACUCCAUCACUCCAUGUACAAAACUUUACAUAUAGCUACGGCAACUCAACCUCCAGAGCCCGGAGAAGUACCCUGGGUCAUAAGCUUUGGCGACGACCUGAACCCGUAGUUACGCGCUCAAAUCCCAGAACCAGACACCAAGCUCCGAUCACACCAACUCCGUCCAGAUCCAGAUCCAAACCGCUUCAAAAUAGAAGCUGGAGUAGACUGAAUCCCGAAGCUGGUACUACUACUUACUACUACUACUACUAGCUACUGCUCCUGCUGCGAGCGAAACAGUUCAGUUUCAUGAUCAUCAGCUUUAUUUUUUGUGGACGGCAAGACAAGAGGGGCAAAACGAAGAUCAAGAGGAGAAAAGGACAGAAGACGAAGAAGACGAAGCAGCGGUUUUUUUGUUACUUUUUAAAAUAAUUUCUAUUUUUUUUAAUGUAAAUUAAAAUAUUAAUAUAUUUUAUGACGUGGAGCUUAUGAAUGACACAUAGACUGUCAUAUCAAAGGAGUUAAGUUUGACUGUUAAUUUAACGGUUAGAUUUGAAAAUCAUGCUAUUUUUUGUAUUUUGAAAAUUAUGUGUCAAAUUGAAUUCGAGGCUAUACGUUGUAUCUUAUUUGAUAAUUUUUUUUUAUAAAACAUACAUAUAGGAUAAGAUUCUUUAUCCACAAGAUCAAUGAUUCUCAACCCUAAUCAGG
This 1348-nucleotide long non-coding RNA is filed under the name Linum usitatissimum (flax). Its description in RNAcentral is "long non-coding RNA (LUSI_LNC007725)". The record is from RNAcentral. Lineage: Eukaryota; Viridiplantae; Streptophyta; Magnoliopsida; Malpighiales; Linaceae.